Molecule: long non-coding RNA, 300 nt
Organism: Cebus imitator (Panamanian white-faced capuchin)
Lineage: Eukaryota; Metazoa; Chordata; Mammalia; Primates; Cebidae
Exons: 3
Source: RefSeq, a predicted model, not a curated record
AAAGUAUGAUUAUUAUUUUUAUUGUCCCUGUGUUACAGGCGAGGAAACCGAAGGCAAGAAGUUGCCAAGUUUAGACAAUUAGCUUCAAAAUUCAAAGGAGGUGUCAAAAUGGAGGGUAGGGAAAAGUCUUUCACCUUUGAGCAUCAACCAUGAAGUCAAAAGCUUCAGAGAAAAGGAAGGUGGGUUCCAUCUGGGUGCAGAGGUCAGUUGUAUCCAACUGACGGAGGAUAUCACCAAUAUUUCUCCAGGCAAGUCCUGGACAAGAAGGAAGGUAAAGAGGAGAGCCGUUCUUGUGGCAGG